CGGUCGAGAGAGUGUUGUCGGGGCUCGCACUUAUGUGCGCCGCAGUGCCCCGAUGAUUAGUUAAUCCGACCGAAAGUGAUCUAGGCGCCCGUUAUGGGCGCCGCCAGGGUCUACGCCGCCUCGCUUUGUGCCACGGGUUCGCCGGCCGCCGCAAGGCAGCUCCCACCGGCCCUGAGGCCUUUACUGCGGCGCACCCAUACAAUC
This 204-nucleotide small nucleolar RNA is filed under the name Chlamydomonas reinhardtii. Its description in RNAcentral is "CrACA50b snoRNA". The record is from RNAcentral. Lineage: Eukaryota; Viridiplantae; Chlorophyta; Chlorophyceae; Chlamydomonadales; Chlamydomonadaceae.